Molecule: ribosomal RNA, 496 nt
Filed under: uncultured bacterium
Lineage: Bacteria
Description: partial 16S ribosomal RNA
Rfam family: Bacterial small subunit ribosomal RNA
Source: RNAcentral
AACGAACGCUGGCGGCGCGUCUUAAGCAUGCAAGUCGAACGGCAAGAGAGGAGCUUGCUUCUCUCCUAGAGUGGCGGACUGGUGAGGAACACGUGGGUAAUCUACCCUUAAGAUGGGGAUAGCUGCUAGAAAUAGCAGGUAAUACCGAAUACACUCGGCAUAUCACAAGAGGUGUUGAGGAAAGGAAGCUACGGCUUCGCUUGAGGAUGAGCUUGCGUCCCAUUAGCUAGUUGGUGAGGUAAAGGCCCACCAAGGCGACGAUGGGUAUCCGGCCCGAGAGGGUGAACGGACACAUUGGGACUGAGAUACGGCCCAAACUCCUACGGGGGGCAGCAGCUAAGAAUAUUCCGCAAUGGACGGAAGUCUGACGGAGCGACGCCGCGUGGAUGAAGAAGGCUGAAAAGUUGUAAAAUCCUUUUGUUGAUGAAGAAUAAGGGUGAGAGGGAAUGCUCAUCUGAUGACGGUAAUCGACGAAUAAGCCCCGGCUAAUUACGUG